GACGAACGCUGGCGGCGUGCCUAAUACAUGCAAGUUGAGCGAUGAAGCUUGGUGCUUGCACCAAUUUGAAGAGCAGCGAACGGGUGAGUAACGCGUGGGGAAUCUGCCUUUGAGCGGGGGACAACAUUUGGAAACGAAUGCUAAUACCGCAUAACAACUUUAAACAUAAGUUUUAAGUUUGAAAGAUGCAAUUGCAUCACUCAAAGAUGAUCCCGCGUUGUAUUAGCUAGUUGGUGAGGUAAAGGCUCACCAAGGCGAAGAUACAUAGCCGACCUGAGAGGGUGAUCGGCCACAUUGGGACUGAGACACGGCCCAAACUCCUACGGGAGGCAGCAGUAGGGAAUCUUCGGCAAUGGACGAAAGUCUGACCGAGCAACGCCGCGUGAGUGAAGAAGGUUUUCGGAUCGUAAAACUCUGUUGGUAGAGAAGAACGUUGGUGAGAGUGGAAAGCUCAUCAAGUGACGGUAACUACCCAGAAAGGGACGGCUAACUACGUG
This 497-nucleotide ribosomal RNA is filed under the name uncultured bacterium. RNAcentral describes it as "partial 16S ribosomal RNA". It matches the Rfam family "Bacterial small subunit ribosomal RNA", at positions 28 to 507 of the family's 1533-position model. The record is from RNAcentral.